AGUCAUAUGCUUGUCUCAAAGAUUAAGCCAUGCAUGUCUCAGUACAAGCCAAAUUAAGGUGAAACCGCGAAAGGCUCAUUAAAUCAGUUAUGGUUCCUUAGAUCGUACCCACAUUUACUUGGAUAACUGUGGUAAUUCUAGAGCUAAUACAUGCUUACAGAACUCUGACCGGAGACGGAAAGAGUGCUUUUAUUAGAUCAAAACCAAUCGGUGGCGAGCUUGCUCGUCAUCGUACAUCUUGGUGACUCUGAAUAACUUUUGCUGAUCGCACGGUCUCGCACCGGCGACGCAUCUUUCAAAUGUCUGCCUUAUCAACUGUCGAUGGUAGGUUCUGCGCCUACCAUGGUUGUAACGGGUAACGGGGAAUCAGGGUUCGAUUCCGGAGAGGGAGCCUGAGAAACGGCUACCACAUCCAAGGAAGGCAGCAGGCGCGCAAAUUACCCACUCCCGGCACGGGGAGGUAGUGACGAAAAAUAACGAUACGGGACUCAUCCGAGGCCCCGUAAUCGGAAUGAGUACACUCUAAACCUUUUAACAAGGAUCAAUUGGAGGGAAAGUCUGGUGCCAGCAGCCGCGG
RNAcentral lists this ribosomal RNA (577 nucleotides) under Speonemadus orchesioides. RNAcentral's name for it is "SSU rRNA". It matches the Rfam family "Eukaryotic small subunit ribosomal RNA", at positions 22 to 579 of the family's 1831-position model. Lineage: Eukaryota; Metazoa; Arthropoda; Insecta; Coleoptera; Leiodidae. The record is from RNAcentral.